UAGAGAUUGUCCCUCCAUGCCAGGUUGGAGGCACAUUGGCUGCAGCAGCAUGUGAAAUCUGCCAAAUGCAGUAGUUGUUUUCCUCUUGAGCAUGACUUCAUCUUUCAAAGCUGUCAGUCAAGCACUGUUUAAAAGCUAAGCAGUGCUUAUUAAUGGAAUCAGACCCAUUCGCACAUCCACACAGUGGUGAACAUUUGGAAAUGAAAGAAUUCACUCCUGUCUGCAUGAUGUACACUGCAGGGGGAAGGGAAGGUAACAGGAUGAGAAGAACAGCAGGAAGCUUUCUUGCCUCUUGUAGAAGAGUCAAUGAACUUUCGGAGAUAUAAACAGAAACAGGGAACCAUUUUAAUAUUCAUCUCUUGAGGCAUUGAAGGGGACAGAGGUCUUCAAAUUAUACAACACUGUAUCCUUCAGACAAGAGGACUGAAGUCUCUGGGAACUGACUUUAGAAAUAGCUAAGACAAGCUCCAAAUGACAUCAGAAUAGAGAGCCCUAUCCUUCUCUCACCUACUUCUACAUACUGUAACCUCCCUGACUCCAUCAGAGGCACUCCUGAUUUGUACCAGUAAAAGUCUGAGGAGAAUCAAGCCAAGCAAGUUUUUGUUUGUCUUUUAAUUUUUGGAAGAGGCUCCCUUCUGUUUCUAAUUAAUGUGUGUGGGGAGAGGGAGGGUAUGUGUGCUGCUAACAAAUGUCCCUCUGAAAUAUUUCAGUGGAAAGAAAAAAAAGACCUAGACUGAAGUAAAACCUUAAUAUGAGGACUAGAGCCGGCACCAGGUACAAGCUGACUAAACAAUUGCUUAGGGCCCUGAUCAGCUCAAGCGGGGCCCCCUUAGUAUGUGUCGUGUGUGUGUGGGGGGAAGGCGGAAUAUUCCUGUUGAAGGCCCCCAAUGGCUUAGCAACGCCUCCAGUGAGGACUCCAUUUUUUGUUGUUAUUUUAAGAAUUUUUACUAUAAUCUCUCUGAGACUGCAUAACAUGCUUAAAUCUGAUGUAGUUUGUAUUCAAUAUACAUUAAGAAACGGUAUAUAUAACGGUAUAGUUGGCUGGUGUCUUUCAGAAGACUGUUUAAAUGGAAAGAAAAUACAAAGGCUUUGCUAAUAAUAAAUAAGAUGUACAAGUAA
Mauremys reevesii (Reeves's turtle) is the source of this 1119-nucleotide long non-coding RNA. RefSeq lists it as uncharacterized. The record is from RefSeq and is a predicted model, not a curated record. The transcript is spliced from 4 exons. NCBI's taxonomy places the organism in Eukaryota, Metazoa, Chordata, Testudines, Geoemydidae.